Molecule: ribosomal RNA, 222 nt
Filed under: uncultured Lactobacillus sp.
Lineage: Bacteria; Bacillati; Bacillota; Bacilli; Lactobacillales; Lactobacillaceae
Description: partial 16S ribosomal RNA
Rfam family: Bacterial small subunit ribosomal RNA
Source: RNAcentral
GGGAUACCACUUGGAAACAGGUGCUAAUACCGGAUAAGAAAGCGGAUCGCAUGAUCAGCUUUAAAAGGCGGCGUAAGCUGUCGCUAUGGGAUGGCCCCGCGGUGCAUUAGCUAGUUGGUAAGGUAAAGGCUUACCAAGGCGAUGAUGCAUAGCCGAGUUGAGAGACUGAUCGGCCACAUUGGGACUGAGACACGGCCCAAACUCCUACGGGAGGCAGCAGUC